CAAAAGCUCAAAUUUGAAAUCUGGCGUUUUCUUCAGGCGUCCGAGUUGUAAUUUGGAGGAGCGUCUUCGGGAGCGGCGGUUGUUCUAAGUUCUUUUGGAACUGGACAUCAUAGAGGGUGAGAAUCCCGUGCCUGGACGGCUGUCCGUUCCCAUGUGAAGUGCUUCCAACGAGUCGAGUUGUUUGGGAAUGCAGCUCAAAAUGGGUGGUAAAUUUCAUCUAAAGCUAAAUAUUGGCGAGAGACCGAUAGCGCACAAGUAGAGUGAUCGAAAGAUGAAAAGCACUUUGAAAAGAGAGUUAAACAGUACGUGAAAUUGUUGAAAGGGAAGCGCUUGAGAUCAACCUUGGCCCUUGGUGGGAUCCCUGCCAGGCUAAAACCCUGGCAGUGCCAUCUCAUCAGGUCAGGCCAGCAUCGGUUUUGACGGCGGGAAAACCGGUCAGGGAAUGUGGCUCUUUUUCGGAAGAGUGUUAUAGCCCUGGCCUUUGAUACUGCCAGUUUGGGACCGAGGACCGCGCCUUUUGGGGCUAGGAUGCUGGCAUAAUGGUCUUCAGCGACCCGUCUUGAAACACGGACCA
Molecule: ribosomal RNA, 574 nt
Filed under: Lamprospora sp.
Lineage: Eukaryota; Fungi; Ascomycota; Pezizomycetes; Pezizales; Pyronemataceae
Description: partial large subunit ribosomal RNA
Rfam family: Eukaryotic large subunit ribosomal RNA
Source: RNAcentral